Molecule: long non-coding RNA, 1996 nt
Filed under: Taeniopygia guttata (zebra finch)
Lineage: Eukaryota; Metazoa; Chordata; Aves; Passeriformes; Estrildidae
Description: lncRNA (ENSTGUG00000019115.1)
Source: RNAcentral
GGGCGCAGCGCCGCCUGGCGGAGCGCGGCCCGGCGCUGAGGGAAACUGAGGCACGCGUCCCGCCAUUCCUUAUAUCAAACACUCAGAGCUUGUAAUUCAUCCUGUAAGAUUGAAAACUCUUUUCCAUGGACAGAGAUCACAGACAGUGUCUCUGGGGGCUCUGUCCAGGGGGGUUCCUGACCCCUGCCAGGGAAUCGCCGCGUUGUUGAGGAUGGAGAAACCUCAGAGAACAUCGAGUCCCACCUGUGGCCGAGCAGCGCUUUGUUCUGAGGGCUGAGUGUUCCGUAAACAUCUCCAGCGAUGCUCUGCCCAGCCCCUGCUUCAUCAAGCCAUCAGUUUGCUGAAAAUGUCCCCAGGGUGGACACACACAACAUGAUCCUGCCUUUUCUCUUGGAAAAACUCAAGGAAAUGAGGUGUUGGAGCAGCAGCAAGACACAAAAAUCCCAGCAGGAUUGGGAUUUUCAGCCCAUCAUCAGGAGAAUCCUUAGAGCACCCUGGUCUGGCCGGGCCACGAAUCCUAAAUGAUGCCUCACGUUUUAGCUUUUGUAUUUUUCACAUUCUGAGCUGCUUUGGUGUGUGGGUCUGGGCUUCUCAUUAUGGGACGGUGAGCUCUCUGCACAGAGAAUAAAUCCCUGCUUUAUUCUUUAGUCCAGCCUGUGCUCUGGCUCAGCCUCCACAAGGCAUCAGUUCCAUGGAGAAUUUUCCCUGAAAUCCCCCCUGGCCCAUCCUGAGGCCGUUCCCUCUCCUGUCCCUGUUCCCUGGAGCACAGCUCAACCUCCCGGCUGUCCCUGUGUGGGAAAUGGAUUUGUGAAGAAUUUUGUGAAGAAUUCACAAUUUUUCUUUGUGAAGAAUUUGUAAAAUUUGUUAGGAAGUUUAUAUAGUUUGGUAUAUUUGUAUAUAAAUAUUGAGAUGAGGUGUGUUGAUUCAGGAAGGUUAUAGACUAGAGAUGAUAUUGUUGAGAGAAAGAUUGAAUUCGAAAGAAGUUUUAAAAUAGGGUUUUGUAAAAAGAUUAGAUAUUAUAGAGAAUUAGAAUGUGUUUUACUAUUUAUUGAGAUUGAUAAUAGAAUAAAAUCUUGUAAAACACCUCUCAAUUACCCCAUCUCCAUAAAAACUAAGAAAACCAACAUCCCCUCCUGGCAGGGACUUGUGCAGAGCCACAGGGUCCCCCUGAGCCUCCUUUGCUCCAGGCUCAGCCCCUUCCCAGCUCCCUCAGCUUUUCCUGCCUCUCCAUUCCCUUCCCAGCUCCAUCCCUGGACACUCUCCAGCCCCUCCAGGUCCUUCCUGAACUGAGGAGCCCAGAGCUGAUCCCAAGAUUCCAGGGGGUCCCUCAGCAGUGCCAGCUCAGGGGACAGUCCCUUCCCUAAUCCUGCUGGCCACUCCAUUCCUGCCAAAAUCCAGGUGCCAUCGGCCUCCUGCCUGUUAUGUGUAGUAAAUAUAAUUCACGCCAUUUCUAAUAUGAUAUAUCUGAUAUUGAAUUGUGGGAAUCCAGAGCUUCCCUCUGGCUGCCCUGGGACCCUGGCAGGGGUCAGGAACCCCCUGGACAGAGCCCCCAGAGGCACUGGCUGUGAUCUCUGUCCAUGGAAAAGAGUUUUCAAUCUUACAGGAUGAAUUACAAGCUCUGAGUGUUUGAUAUGAGUAAUAAUUAAGUGUGACACGGGUGCAAAAGUAAAAUUUUAGGAUUCUAGAUUAGGGGUUCAGAGGGGACAAGAUGGAGGAAAUUGGGUGUGUCUUGUCCUUUUUCUCCUCCUUCAUGCCCUCCAUGUUUCACUGUGGUGUUGGCAUUUUUCUGUUGAUUUAGGCUAUAAAACCCGUUUGUGCCAGGAUGGAGGCGUGUGGGCAUGGAGGAAAACCUCUGCUGAGGCUGACUUCUUCUCACACACCCAGGGCCAACCCCGGGCUUGGCUCUGUUCUUUCCUUGUGGCUGGCUAGAUAGAAUUUGAUUGCAAAAUAAAUAUUUUAUUUUUUUCAUCUUAAUUUGGCUGGACAAAUUUUCAUU